AGGAGUCUUCAGGGCAGGGUGAAAUUCCCGACCGGCGGUAAAUUCUGGCUGUUGCCAAAUUUUUGCUUUUAUAUAGUGCUUUUGAUUCCUGCAAACAUCGGUUAACUUUGCGAAUCAUUGCCUCAUCUAAAAACAAAAUUUUUGUCAAUUUUAUGCAAGAGAAGUCCGCGAGCGCAAGCUGAUGUGGUGAAAUUCCACAACCGACAGUAUAGUCUGGAUGGGAGAAGACGAAA
Molecule: non-coding RNA, 233 nt
Filed under: Streptococcus sp.
Lineage: Bacteria; Bacillati; Bacillota; Bacilli; Lactobacillales; Streptococcaceae
Description: FMN sequence
Rfam family: FMN riboswitch aptamer (RFN element)
About the family: The RFN element is a highly conserved domain that is found frequently in the 5'-untranslated regions of prokaryotic mRNAs that encode for flavin mononucleotide (FMN) biosynthesis and transport proteins. This element is a metabolite-dependent riboswitch that directly binds FMN in the absence of proteins. In Bacillus subtilis, the riboswitch most likely controls gene expression by causing premature transcription termination within the 5' untranslated region of the ribDEAHT operon and precluding access to the ribosome-binding site of ypaA mRNA.
Source: RNAcentral